ACAGCUUACACAUGGCAAGUCGAGCGGGAGAGAGGUAGCUUGCUACUGAUCUUAGCGGCGGCCCGGUGAGUAAUGCUUAGGAAUCUGCCUAUUAGUGGGGGACAACAUUUCGAAAGGAAUGCUAAUACCGCAUACGUCCUACGGGAGAAAGCAGGGGAUCUUCGGACCUUGCGCUAAUAGAUGAGCCUAAGUCGGAUUAGCUAGUUGGUGGGGUAAAGGCCUACCAAGGCGACGAUCUGUAGCGGGUCUGAGAGGAUGAUCCGCCACACUGGGACUGAGACACGGCCCAGACUCCUACGGGAGGCAGCAGUGGGGAAUAUUGGACAAUGGGCGGAAGCCUGAUCCAGCCAUGCCGCGUGUGUGAAGAAGGCCUUAUGGUUGUAAAGCACUUUAAGCGAGGAGGAGGCUACUUUAGUUAAUACCUAGAGAUAGUGGACGUUACUCGCAUAAUAAACACCGGCUAACUCUGUGCCAGCAGCC
This 480-nucleotide ribosomal RNA is filed under the name bacterium. RNAcentral's name for it is "bacterial SSU rRNA". It matches the Rfam family "Bacterial small subunit ribosomal RNA", at positions 44 to 516 of the family's 1533-position model. The record is from RNAcentral.